This 1236-nucleotide long non-coding RNA is filed under the name Salmo salar (Atlantic salmon). RNAcentral describes it as "lncRNA (ENSSSAG00000099128.1)". The record is from RNAcentral. Lineage: Eukaryota; Metazoa; Chordata; Actinopteri; Salmoniformes; Salmonidae.
ACCUAGUUGAUGCCACUGAAGCCAUAGAAGUUGAGGUAAAAGUUUCCGUUGUGGUUGUCGAGGUAGGAAGUGCAAUUGUGGUUGUACUUGUAGGAGCGACAGUUGUUGUAGUAUUAGCUGCAGUUGUCGUAGGGGAUAUUGUUGUUGUCGUAGGUGCAACAGUUGUUGUAAAAGGAGUUUCAGUUGUGGUUGCAGUAAGGAAUGCAGUAGUAGUUGUGGAAGCAGCUACAGUUGUUGCUGUAGGAGCUGCUGCAGUUGUAGUGUUCGUGGGAGCUACAGUUGUUGAAGUAGAAGCUGCAAUUGUGGGGGACAUAGGAGCUACAGUUGUGAUUUCUGUAGGAGCUUCAGUUGUGGUUGUCGUAGGAGGUAAUAUGGUAGUAGGACCUGCAGUUGUGAUUGAUGUAGUAGGUGCUGAACUUGUGGUUAUGGAAACAUCUGCAGUUGUUGUUGUAGCAGAUGCUACAGUUGUAGUUGAAGUUGCAAUUGUGGGGGGCAUAGGAGCUACAGUUGUGAUGUCUGUAGGAGCUUCAUUUGUGGUUGUGGUUGGAGUUAAAUUGGUAGUAGAACCUGCAGUUGAGAUUGACAUUGUAGGAGCUACAGUUGUUGUGGUGGAUGUUGUUGUGGUUGUCAUAGGUGAUACAGUUGUGGUUGUCGAAGGAGGUAAAAUGGUAGUUGGACCUGCAGUUGUGAAUGACGUAGUGGAUGCUGAAGUUGUAGAGGUUGUAGGAGCAAGAGUUGUUUGUGUAGGAGCUGCAGUUGUGAUUGGCAUUGUUGGAGCUACAGUUGAAGAAUUAGCUGCAGUUGUCGCAGGGACUGUUGUUGCUGAUGUUGUUGGUGCUAAAGUUGUUGUAGAAGGAGCUUCAGUUGUGGUUGCAGUAGGGGCUGCAGUAGUAGUUGUGGAAGCAGCUACAGUUAUUGUUGUAGGAGCUGCUGCAGUUGUAGUGGUCGUGGGACCUACAGUUGUUGAAGAAGAAGCUGCAAUUGUGGGGGACAUAGGAGCUACAGUUGUGAUUUCUGUAGGAGCUUCAGUUGUGGUUGUCGUAGGAGGAGAAAUGGUAGUAGGACCUGCAGUUGUGAUUGAUGUAGUAGGUGCUGCACUUGUGGCUUUGGAAGCAUCUGCAGUUGUUGUUGUAGGAAAUGCUACAGUUGUAGUUGAAGUUGCAAUUGCGGAGGGCAUAGGAGCUACAGAUGUGAUGUCUGUUGGAGCUUCAUUUGUGGUUGUGGAUGGAGUUAAAU